GAAAUUUUCGCAAGUUACGGAAUUUACGAACAUUUUUCCGAAAUCUCCCUACAUUCUGCCAUACUCAAAUAACAAUCAUCAUAGAAAUUUUCUAAACUAACACAUAAGCAUCCUUAGAUAAAUAAUAGCAGUUUUAAAGCAUCACAACACACUCAUUACAUAUUCUCAUUCUCACAUAGUCUUACACACCAUAGGAAAUUUAAAGACAUAGUUCGAUACACAAAUUCAUCCAUCCAUUCACUCCCCCUUUGGCAUCAAGUGCCAAAAAGGAAAUGAAAUAGUAGCAGCUCCUCGUCGUUGUCAUAGUCCUCGUCCUCCUCCUCCUUAUUGUCAUCCUCGUCCUCUUCCUCUUCUUCCUCAACG
This 363-nucleotide long non-coding RNA is filed under the name Setaria viridis. RNAcentral's name for it is "long non-coding RNA (SVIR_LNC010294)". Lineage: Eukaryota; Viridiplantae; Streptophyta; Magnoliopsida; Poales; Poaceae. The record is from RNAcentral.